GGGCGCGUAGUUCACCGGUAGAACGCUUCACUGAUAAUGAAGAAGUAGAAGGUUCGAUUCCUUCCGCGCCCACUA
This 75-nucleotide transfer RNA is filed under the name Candidatus Wildermuthbacteria bacterium RIFCSPLOWO2_12_FULL_40_9. RNAcentral's name for it is "tRNA-Ile". It matches the Rfam family "tRNA". From Rfam's summary of the family: Transfer RNA (tRNA) molecules are approximately 80 nucleotides in length. Lineage: Bacteria; Candidatus Wildermuthiibacteriota. The record is from RNAcentral.